This 477-nucleotide ribosomal RNA is filed under the name Bacillus cereus. RNAcentral describes it as "bacterial SSU rRNA". It matches the Rfam family "Bacterial small subunit ribosomal RNA", at positions 28 to 485 of the family's 1533-position model. The record is from RNAcentral. Lineage: Bacteria; Bacillati; Bacillota; Bacilli; Caryophanales; Bacillaceae.
GAUGAACGCUGGCGGCGUGCCUAAUACAUGCAAGUCGAGCGAAUGGAUUAAGAGCUUGCUCUUAUGAAGUUAGCGGCGGACGGGUGAGUAACACGUGGGUAACCUGCCCAUAAGACUGGGAUAACUCCGGGAAACCGGGGCUAAUACCGGAUAACAUUUUGAACCGCAUGGUUCGAAAUUGAAAGGCGGCUUCGGCUGUCACUUAUGGAUGGACCCGCGUCGCAUUAGCUAGUUGGUGAGGUAACGGCUCACCAAGGCAACGAUGCGUAGCCGACCUGAGAGGGUGAUCGGCCACACUGGGACUGAGACACGGCCCAGACUCCUACGGGAGGCAGCAGUAGGGAAUCUUCCGCAAUGGACGAAAGUCUGACGGAGCAACGCCGCGUGAGUGAUGAAGGCUUUCGGGUCGUAAAACUCUGUUGUUAGGGAAGAACAAGUGCUAGUUGAAUAAGCUGGCACCUUGACGGUACCUAACCA